UUGCAUGUUGGUAUUCCACUCCAGGGCUA
Molecule: non-coding RNA, 29 nt
Filed under: Mus musculus (house mouse)
Lineage: Eukaryota; Metazoa; Chordata; Mammalia; Rodentia; Muridae
Source: RNAcentral